CUCAGUAACGGCGAGUGAAGCGGCAAGAGCUCAAAUUUGAAAUCUGGCCCCUUUGGGGUCCGAGUUGUAAUUUGCAGAGGAUGCUUCGGGUGCGGUCCCCGUCUAAGUGCCCUGGAACGGGCCGUCAUAGAGGGUGAGAAUCCCGUCUGGGAUGGGCGGCCGCGCCCGUGUGAAGCUCCUUCGACGAGUCGAGUUGUUUGGGAAUGCAGCUCUAAGCGGGUGGUAAAUUUCAUCUAAAGCUAAAUACUGGCCGGAGACCGAUAGCGCACAAGUAGAGUGAUCGAAAGAUGAAAAGCACUUUGAAAAGAGAGUUAAACAGCACGUGAAAUUGUUGAAAGGGAAGCGUUGUCCACCAGACUCGCCCGGGGGGGUUCAGCCGGCACGUGUGCCGGUGUACUCCUCUCCGGGCGGGCCAGCAUCGGUUUGGGCGGCUGGUGAAAGGCUCCGGGAAGGUACCACCCUUCGGGGUGACUUAUAGCCCGGGGUGCCAUGCAGCCAGCCUGGACCGAGGCCCGCGCUUCGGCGAGGAUGCUGGCGUAAUGGUGGUCAACGGCCCGUCUUGAAACACGGACCAAGGAGUCUAACAUCUAUGCGAGUGUUCGGGUGUCAAACCCGUCCGCGCAGUGAAAGCGAACGGAGGUGGGAGCCUUUCGGGGCGCACCAUCGACCGAUCCUGAUGUCUUCGGAUGGAUUUGAGUAAGAGCAUAGCUGUUGGGACCCGAAAGAUGGUGAACUAUGCCUGAAUAGGGCGAAGCCAGAGGAAACUCUGGUGGAGGCUCGCAGCGGUUCUGACGUGCAAAUCGAUCGUC
This 809-nucleotide ribosomal RNA is filed under the name Talaromyces sp. CMV-2021c. RNAcentral's name for it is "partial large subunit ribosomal RNA". It matches the Rfam family "Eukaryotic large subunit ribosomal RNA", at positions 79 to 906 of the family's 3401-position model. The record is from RNAcentral. Lineage: Eukaryota; Fungi; Ascomycota; Eurotiomycetes; Eurotiales; Trichocomaceae.